AACGAACGCUGGCGGCAGGCUUAACACAUGCAAGUCGAGCGCCCCGCAAGGGGAGCGGCAGACGGGUGAGUAACGCGUGGGAACGUGCCCUUUGGUUCGGAACAACUCCGGGAAACUGGAGCUAAUACCGGAUAAGGCCCUUUCGGGGGGAAAAGAUUUUAUCGCCAAAGGAUCGGCCCGCGUCUGAUUAGCUAGUUGGUGAGGUAAUGGCUCACCAAGGCGACGAUCAGUAGCUGGUCUGAGAGGAUGAUCAGCCACACUGGGACUGAGACACGGCCCAGACUCCUACGGGAGGCAGCAGUGGGGAAUAUUGGACAAUGGGCGCAAGCCUGAUCCAGCCAUGCCGCGUGAGUGAUGAAGGCCUUAGGGUUGUAAAGCUCUUUGUCCGGGAAGAUAAUGACUGUACCGGAAGAAUAAGACCCCGGCUAACUUCGUGCCAGCAGCCGCGGUAAU
RNAcentral lists this ribosomal RNA (453 nucleotides) under uncultured bacterium. RNAcentral describes it as "bacterial SSU rRNA". It matches the Rfam family "Bacterial small subunit ribosomal RNA", at positions 29 to 524 of the family's 1533-position model. The record is from RNAcentral.